Molecule: long non-coding RNA, 718 nt
Organism: Helianthus annuus (common sunflower)
Lineage: Eukaryota; Viridiplantae; Streptophyta; Magnoliopsida; Asterales; Asteraceae
Exons: 2
Source: RefSeq, a predicted model, not a curated record
UUGCAGGCACUAGAUAAGUGAUUAAAAAGAAAAAGGAGGGCAUGCGGAAUUGAGAGGUGCAACAGAACCCUUUUGGAUGCGUGGUUUCUCACGGUUGUAUAUCCGGAACGGCCAGAAGAACUAAGGCGACGAAAGGUUGUUUAGAAAUGGAUGGAAGCCUCUAAUGGAUGUUUUUCUGUCAAAACUCUAAGGAGCAUGAUAUCGGACCGGAAAUGGGCUUCCACAAACCAAGUCUUUGUUUGGGUAUCUUGUGUUCCAAAAAAAAAAAAAAAACCAUUUUUGCUUGGCACGCCAACAUGGAUUUUCUUCCUAUGCUCGUGGCACUAGAUGUAGAAGGCUAUCCAUUCCAUCAAAAGUAUGUAAACUCUGUGGGUUGGCAGACGAGUCGUUAGAACAUUUUUUGACUGGAUGCUAUAUUGCAAGUGUAGUAUGGCAACGGAUUUCAACAUGGUGCUCUAUACCGCCGAUCUUCGCAUUCCAGUUGGAUGAUAUGGUUGACUCGAAACAGUAUUAUUUUACUCGUGAAUGGAUCGAUUUGUUAGCAAUGUUGUUUGAGUCUCUGUUUUUUUUUUUUUGUGUUUAGAUUUGUAGUUUGUUGAGCAAUGUAAGAUUCUUGUAGUUAGUUUGUUACCUAUUACAAGAUUUGGCUCAAAUGGAUAUAAUAUCCAACCAACUGGAACAAAAAGCUGACAUUUUUUAUAAUCAUAUUUUCCACUCU